GAAAUCUUCAGCUUGCUGAAGAGAGUAAAGUGGCGCACGGGUGAGUAACGCGUGGGUAAUCUACCCUUGAAUCGGGGAUAACAUUGCGAAAGCGAUGCUAAUACCGGAUAACAUCAUAUUAACCUUGGUUUUUAUGAUCAAAGAUGACCUCUACAUGUAAGUUAUUGUUUGAGGAGGAGCCCGCGUACCAUUAGCUAGUUGGUGGGGUAAAGGCCUACCAAGGCUACGAUGGUUAGCUGGUCUGAGAGGAUGAUCAGCCACACUGGAACUGACACACGGUCCAGACUCCCACGGGAGGCAGCAGUGAGGAAUUUUGCGCAAUGGGGGAAACCCUGACGCAGCAACGCCGCGUGAGUGAUGAAGGCUUUAGGGUCGUAAAGCUCUGUCAAGUGGGAAGAACCUAUCCGGUAAUAAUACUGCCGGAUACUGACGGUACCACUGAAGGAAGCACCGGCUAACUCCGUGCCAGCAGCCGCGGUAAUACGGGGGGUGCAAGCGUUAUUCGGAAUCAUUGGGCGUAAAGGGCACGCAGGCGGCCUGGUAAGUCAGAUGUGAAAGCCCGGGGCUUAACCCCGGAAGGGCAUUUGAAACUAUCAGGCUUGAGUAUGGGAGAGGGAAGUGGAAUUCCUGGUGUAGAGGUGAAAUUCGUAGAUAUCAGGAGGAACACCGGUGGCGAAGGCGACUUCCUGGACCAAUACUG
Molecule: ribosomal RNA, 700 nt
Filed under: uncultured bacterium
Lineage: Bacteria
Description: bacterial SSU rRNA
Rfam family: Bacterial small subunit ribosomal RNA
Source: RNAcentral